Molecule: long non-coding RNA, 3358 nt
Filed under: Lathyrus oleraceus (garden pea)
Lineage: Eukaryota; Viridiplantae; Streptophyta; Magnoliopsida; Fabales; Fabaceae
Description: Pisum sativum (pea) long non-coding RNA (PSAT_LNC037554)
Source: RNAcentral
GAUGUUGCAUUGCUAGAUGAUUAGCAUGCAUAUUGUGGCCUUUAGGGUGGUAGCUAAUUCCCAUGGUGAGGAUUAGUGAGUAGUCAUUUUGGACUUGUUGAUGUUUGCAUGCUAGGUGAUUAGCGUGCAUAGCAUGACCCAUUUGGGGUGGUAGCUAAUCCCAUGGUGAGGAAUUAGUGAGUGAGUCACUAGGUCUCAAAUGAGUGGGACUAGUGGGCUUGGUAGCGUGCCUGGAUUUGGACGGUGAGGUGAACUAUAUGUUCAUAAAUAGUCGGGACCACAUGCAUGGAGUCUCAUUGCAUAAUUGAUGUAUGGCGUAUAAUAUGAAUGGAUGUAUUCCAGUAUUAUACGUGUGUUGUGUGUUGUGUUGAUGUUAAGUAUGAUUGAGUGAUAUUGCUGUUACUGAAGGUGUAAUCUGAUUUGGGUGAUUAACGUGUUAAAUGACUUAACAUGACAUUAGAUUCUAUAAUGCUUAUUAUAUCGAUGAGGAACUCACCCUUACAACUAUUUUUCAGGUAACGAGCAAUGAGUUGAGUAGAAGCUAAUGCUUGGAGUCUAGUGUAGUCUCCUUAGUGGGUCAUGCUCUGAUAGAUGUAACAUCGGGAGGGAACAUUUUAAUUGUGUUGUUGAUGUUGUUGAACCAGUUUACAUGUAGUAUGUUACAUGUUUUGAAUGAAUCGAUUUGAUCUCUAUCCGCUGCGUAUUGUGCAAUACUUUAUGUUUUGAGUUAAAUAAUGAGCAUGACUAAAUAUUAUGGUGAUUGGUGUGAAAUAAUUGUGUGACACCCUUGAUUGCAUGUUUACUCUGAUUUACCUUUGUGAUUUUAAUUGAACAUUUGGGGUAUUCUAGAAGGGUGUUACAUAACUCGUGUACCAAAUUGUUGGAUGAGGAGCCAAUUGCCUCCUAGUUCUUUGACUAGAGCGUGAGGAUAAGAAGAAUGAUUUCCCCCGUUAUUGAGAAUAGGAAGAGCAACUUUCACGUUAAUAUGAGGAAGUCGUUUCUUACUUAGAUAAGCGACAAAUGUUGAUCCUUUCAGAUGCACAUGGCCUCAUGUAAUAUAAUAGCUGUCACUUGAAUAACACGAAUUUGGACCGUCUGACCCAUGCUAGAUAAGGUGGACUUCAAGUCGAAUAACCCAACGCCCAUUGUGUCGUACUUGUCCGUUUUAUCCAAUGACCCUUUGUGACGCUUAAAGACAGAGAGAAUUAUGGAUUAUUUUCUUCCGGGGCCAAAUAAAAAUGAUCCCAAUCAACUAUGUAAGCAAAAAGUUUUGUAAUUAUUAUAUAAAUCAGUUCAAUUAAUAAAGAUACACACUUUGUUACUCAUCAAAAUCCUUUCUCUAUUACUUAAAUUUUAUUUAGAGAAAAUAUAUUCUUCCACUAAAAACAUAUUCCUAUGCCGUAUUAUAAUAAUAUUCUUUUAAAAAAUAUAUAUAUAAAAAAUUAUUUUUCUAUUUUUUUUAUUUUUAAAUUAAAUAAUACUAAUAUAAAAUUGUGUGACUAACCAACUUCAUAAUUUUAUUAACAAUAUUUUACAUUGUAUUAACCAACUCUAACGACGGCACAAAGUUAUUUUUGAUAUCUAAACGUUUAUUAACCAAUUUCAUAACUUCAUUAAUCAUUUUUUUACUUUUUAUUAACCAACUUUUGUGUACUAUUAAAAAUUAUUUUUAAUAUCUGAACAUUUAUUAACCAACUUCAUCGUUUUAUUAACCAACUUUUUAUAUUUUAUUAACCAAUUUAAUUUCACUACUUUAAAGUUAAUAUUCACGAUAAUUAUUCAUCGAUACUGUUUACGGAUACUGUUCACACAUUAUUCAUGCACAGUUUACACAUUAUUCAUAAAAGGAUAUUUUUUAUUUAAAAAACAAUUUUUAUUAUAUAAAUACGAUAAAAUGUAUAUACGACCAAUAUAUAUACUUAGUGUAAAAAAUGGUGUAGGAAUAUUGCUGUAUUAUUUAACAGCAACCUGCAAUAAAAUUCAUAAACAUUUCCCAUGCAUAGCACCCGGUACAUACUAUAAUAUAUUAUCAUUUCAACAACAUGAAACAGUUAUAUUAUAUUUACUUUUUAUUUUGGUGAAUAAAAACAAUAAGUCCUACUCGUGAAACGCAUGGUUACUUUAUUAUUAAAAAAGGGGUGCUUCACAUCAUUACUACUGUAUUAUAUAUAGAGGCAUAUAGUUAAUCAACAAACUCACAAACAAAAAACAUUCUUAAUCACCUAACAAUGAAACCUCUUUCACCACUCACCCUUUCCUUCCUCCUCUUUGUUUUCAUCACCACUCUUUCACUAGCUUUCUCAAAUGAAGAUGUUGAGCAAGUAUUGGACGUUAAUGGCAAGCCCAUUUUCCCCGGUGGCCAAUACUACAUCUUGCCAGCAAUCACUGGAUCCUCUUUGUUUUCAUCACCACUCUUUCACUAGCUUUCUCAAAUGAAGAUGUUGAGCAAGUAUUGGACGUUAAUGGCAAGCCCAUUUUCCCCGGUGGCCAAUACUACAUCUUGCCAGCAAUCACUGGCCCUCCCGGCGGAGGAGUAAGACUCGGAAGAACCGGUGAUUUAACCUGUCCAGUCACCGUCCUACAAGACCGCCGAGAAGUUAAAAACGGUCUACCAGUGAAGUUUGUUAUACCAGAAAUAUCUACUGGUAUAAUUUUCACUGGUACACCAAUUGAAAUAGAGUAUACAAAGAAACCUAAUUGUGCAAAAUCAUCAAAAUGGUUAGUAUUUGUUGACAAUGUUAUUCAAAAGGCCUGUGUUGGUAUUGGUGGUCCUGAGAAUUACCCUGGUAUUCAAACAUUGAGUGGAUUAUUUAAGAUUGAGAAGCAUGAAUCUGGAUUUGGCUAUAAGCUUGGAUUUUGUAUUAAGGGUUCUCCUACUUGUUUGGAUGUUGGAAGAUUUGAUAAUGAUGAAGCUGGAAGAAGGUUGAAUUUGACUGAGCAUGAGUCCUUUCAAGUUGUGUUUGUUGAAGCUGAGGCUAAUGAUGCUGAGUUUAUUAAACUCCUACUUGUUUGGAUGUUGGAAGAUUUGAUAAUGAUGAAGCUGGAAGAAGGUUGAAUUUGACUGAGCAUGAGUCCUUUCAAGUUGUGUUUGUUGAAGCUGAGGCUAAUGAUGCUGAGUUUAUUAAAUCUGUUGUUUGAAUUUUAGUUUAGUAUAAUUAAGCUAGAUUGUGUGAGUUUUAGUUCUUGCACAGUUUUAAGCAUAUAAUAAAAUGGAAAUAUUUGUGUUCAAUGUUUUCUCUCUUCUAUUAUUUUUCUCUUUAUAUAUAUCAUUCAUUAUAUUCUCUCUCUCUAGUUGUUACAAAAUCAUUAAGGAUAAGUUUUGUUACUAUAUUUUUGGAUUGAAUUCUUAAAUGGUUUU